RNAcentral lists this transfer RNA (76 nucleotides) under Chitinophagaceae bacterium. RNAcentral describes it as "tRNA-OTHER". It matches the Rfam family "tRNA". Rfam says of the family: Transfer RNA (tRNA) molecules are approximately 80 nucleotides in length. Their secondary structure includes four short double-helical elements and three loops (D, anti-codon, and T loops). Lineage: Bacteria; Pseudomonadati; Bacteroidota; Chitinophagia; Chitinophagales; Chitinophagaceae. The record is from RNAcentral.
GGUUCGUUGGUGUAAUGGCUAAUCCCGCACUUGCGGGAUCUAUCUGAUGCUGCGGGUUCGACUCCCGUACGAACCG